This 454-nucleotide ribosomal RNA is filed under the name uncultured bacterium. Its description in RNAcentral is "partial 16S ribosomal RNA". It matches the Rfam family "Bacterial small subunit ribosomal RNA", at positions 28 to 507 of the family's 1533-position model. The record is from RNAcentral.
GAUGAACGCUGACAGAAUGCUUAACACAUGCAAGUCAACUUGAACUUCGGUUUGGGUGGCGGACGGGUGAGUAACGCGUAAAGAACUUGCCUCACAGAUAGGGACAACAUUUGGAAACGAAUGCUAAUACCUGAUAUUAUGAUUAUAUGGCAUCGUAUAAUUAUGAAAGCUAUAUGCGCUGUGAGAGAGCUUUGCGUCCCAUUAGCUAGUUGGAGAGGUAACGGCUCACCAAGGCGAUGAUGGGUAGCCGGCCUGAGAGGGUGAUCGGCCACAAGGGGACUGAGACACGGCCCUUACUCCUACGGGAGGCAGCAGUGGGGAAUAUUGGACAAUGGACCAAGAGUCUGAUCCAGCAAUUCUGUGUGCACGAUGAAGUUUUUCGGAAUGUAAAGUGCUUUCAGUUGGGAAGAAAAAAAUGACGGUACCAACAGAAGAAGAGACGGCUAAAUACGUG